RNAcentral lists this ribosomal RNA (499 nucleotides) under uncultured bacterium. Its description in RNAcentral is "partial 16S ribosomal RNA". It matches the Rfam family "Bacterial small subunit ribosomal RNA", at positions 28 to 507 of the family's 1533-position model. The record is from RNAcentral.
GACGAACGCUGGCGGCGUGCUUAACACAUGCAAGUCGAACGGGCCCGCCCCUGUUUUUGGGGGUGGGUUGAGUGGCGAACGGGUGAGUAUCACGUGAGUAACCUGCCCCCUGCUCCUGGAUAACUGCUUGAAAGGGCGGCUAAUACGGGGUGUGCCGGCUGGUCCGCAUGGGCCUGGUCGGGAUAGUUUCAUCUUCGGGUGUUUCGGUGGGGGAUGGGCUCGCGGCCUAUCAGCUUGUUGGUGGGGUGAUGGCCCACCAAGGCGGUGACGGGUAGCCGGCCUGAGAGGGUGGGCGGCCACACUGGGACUGAGACACGGCCCAGACUCCUGCGGGAGGCAGCAGUGGGGGGUAUUGCACAAUGGGCGGAAGCCUGAUGCAGCGACGUCGCGUGAGGGAUGGAGGCCGUCGGGUUGUGAACCUCUUUCUCCGGUGGUGAAGGCCCUGUCCGGUGCGGCGGGGUUGACGGUAGCCGGGUAUGAAGCGCCGGCUAACUACGUG